RNAcentral lists this ribosomal RNA (402 nucleotides) under uncultured bacterium. RNAcentral's name for it is "bacterial SSU rRNA". It matches the Rfam family "Bacterial small subunit ribosomal RNA", at positions 356 to 773 of the family's 1533-position model. The record is from RNAcentral.
GGGGAAUAUUGGGCAAUGGGCGCAAGCCUGACCCAGCAACGCCGCGUGAAGGAAGAAGGCUUUCGGGUUGUAAACUUCUUUUGUCAGGGACGAGUAGAAGACGGUACCUGACGAAUAAGCCACGGCUAACUACGUGCCAGCAGCCGCGGUAAUACGUAGGUGGCAAGCGUUGUCCGGAUUUACUGGGUGUAAAGGGCGUGUAGCCGGGAAGGCAAGUCAGAUGUGAAAUCCACGGGCUCAACUCGUGAACUGCAUUUGAAACUGUUUUUCUUGAGUAUCGGAGAGGCAAUCGGAAUUCCUAGUGUAGCGGUGAAAUGCGUAGAUAUUAGGAGGAACACCAGUGGCGAAGGCGGAUUGCUGGACGACAACUGACGGUGAGGCGCGAAAGCGUGGGGAGCAAAC